Dama dama (fallow deer) is the source of this 4578-nucleotide long non-coding RNA. RefSeq lists it as uncharacterized. NCBI's taxonomy places the organism in Eukaryota, Metazoa, Chordata, Mammalia, Artiodactyla, Cervidae. The record is from RefSeq and is a predicted model, not a curated record. The transcript is spliced from 3 exons.
AAUACAGCCAAACCAAAGCCUUUUCAGGCCCGAGCUGACCGGAAGACGUUGCCUUUCAUUCAUUCAUUCUGCCCGCGUCUGUGGAGUCCUUUACUAGGCGAGAAGCCCUAGAAGAGAAGUUGGACAUUUUUUAAAGGUCCCUGCGCUCUCCAAGAAGAGGAAAUAGAUGCUCAGGAGUGAACUACCGAGAGAAUCGGAUCUGGCGCCUCCUAACGCAGCUGGCAAAAAUGCGAAGGGAAAAUCCCUCAUGAAGCAAAAGAAGAAGAGGAAGAAGAAAGUUUGAUGCUCCUUUUGUCUCCAAUCCUACACACUCGGUAGGUGCACAGUAAAAAGUACAGGAUGGGUUCCUAUGUUUUUCCAGAAUUUUGACUUAACCUAUGAGCUGUGUGCCUUUGGGGAAAGUGACUUCACCUCUCUGAAUCUCAUUAUGACUUGUACAAUGGGAAAAAUAAUAGAUCGUUGAGGGUAUGAGAUGAGAUCAUGGAACUACUGUCAUAACACUCUGUAUUUCAUUAUUCUGCUUCCAUAUGCUCUGUAGCACUGACCACUUUUAUCACAUAGUUUAUUUAUUUUGUUUCAUUUUUUUCUCCUCCCUCUAGGAUGUAAAUUCUGCAAGGCAAGGGUUUUAUUGUUUCAUUUGCCUCUGUACUCCCAGCCCUGCAAAUAGAGCUUGGCCUGUUAUGUGGAAUCUUAGUUCACAAAUCAGGAAUUGAACCCCACAGCCCCUGCAGUGGAAGGCAAAAUCUUCAACACUGGACCACCAGAGAAGGCUCUCAGAUUUGUUUUAAAAAACUUUUUGCUAGUUGCUGUUACAGAAUGGCUUUAAAAGCAGAGACAUCAGGGAGCAGUUUACUGCAGACCUCUCGGCAGGCAAUGAUGGUAGCCUGGCUAAGAUGGAAGAGGCGAUGCUGGCCACAAGAGCUGAGAUUUUAAGAAAAUGUGGGUUUCCUAAUGGAUUAGAUGUGGUAGGAAAAGGGCACAGUGAGGGGAAGCAAGGACCCAGGGGUGACUCCUAGGGUGAGCAGCACCCCAAUUUCCCCUUCUCUAGGGCCUCUGGAGAGAACCACAGAACCGCAUUGCACUUGACAGUCUGUUCCUGGGAUGCUGGGCAUUUUUAUGUGAUUAGGCUGGAAUAGUUCUCUGGGAAAUAAAUGCCCUCAGUCUAAAAGGCUUUUACAAGCCAGGGCAGGGGAUUAAAGGCGGCCAGGCUGAGGAGAAAUUCCAAGGUCAGGAGACAGCUGGGCAUGGAGACUUUUAAUCUAAACCUUAAACAUUUUUAUUUUUCACUCCCUGAACCCAGGGUGUCACUUUAAAUACGUGUUUGGCAACAUCGGCUGUUCUAUUUUUCUUUUUAAUUAUACAAAAAGAGAUCCUGGAAACAGCUCAGCCCCCAGGCUGGGGGAGGCGAGGAAAGUCUGGCAACAGUUCGAGGAGGCAGACACCAGCUAAAAAUUGAGUGGAUCGAAGUCCCUUUGAAGGCGAAUGGAGACUCUACCCUGAACUUGGUGGGGGGAGCCCUGACUCAGGGUUUCUAAAAGGAGACUGACAGUCACUAGCUUAGAAUGGAGAGAUGACAGAUGGACAAAUCUGCAAGAUAAAAAUAUCACUAACACUAGCAUAGCUCUCGUACCUUGAGUGUCUUCCCAGACCUCUGUCCUCCUCCUUCCUUUCAUCCUCUGAGCAGAAAACACUUAACUAGACAAUUCAUUCACAUUUACAGGCUACUCCCUACUAUAUGCUGGACUCCGGGUUCAACUGUUUGUAUGUGUUAUCUUGGGAUUUUUUUUUAAUAUAUAUUUGUUUGUUUGCUCCAGGUCUUAGUUGCAGCACAUGGGAUCUUCCAUCUUCAUUGUGGCAUGUGCGAACUUUUUCUUUUUUAAGAUUUUUGUUGUGGACCAUUUGUUUUGUCUUUAUUGAAUUUGUUACAAUAUUGCUUCUUUGUUUUUUUUUUUUAAUGUUUCUUUCAUUUUUUUUUUGCCCCAAGGCAUGUGAGAUCUUAGUUCCCCCACCAGGAAUUGAACCCACACCCCCUGCACUGGAAGAUAAAAUCUUAAUCACUGGACCUCCAGAGAAGUCCCAGCAUGCAAACUCUUAGUUGCAGCAAGAGGGAUCUAGUUCCCUGACCAGGGACCAAAGCUGGGACCCUGAAUUGGGAGCUCAGAGUUUUAGCCACUGGACCAUCAGGGAACUGUUGAUACCUUGUUUCAUGCAGAGAGCAGUGUUGUGAGUAGAUAAUCAUACAUAUCAUUAUCCCCAUUUUCUAGAUGGUGAAUCUGAGACUUAAAGAGAUUAAAUAUAACUCCAGUUCCCCAGUGUUGGGCCUGGCCUUGUUUGCCCUCAAAUCCAUUCCUUGCCCUUCCUCUGUUUAGCUCUGUAUCACUGGGAGGCCAACCUCUGCAGGCUGCCAAAAGAGCUGACUUCCUUUAUAGAUCAACGAAUGGGAAGCAGAGAUAGGAGCCUAGUGGGCGGGAAGAAGGGAGAAGCCAGGGUUUUUCUCCCUCUCUCUGUCUCUGGAAAUAGUUCCAGGAGCAGCUGCAUUUCCUGUGUCUCUACCUCCCACCAGACAGUGCCACUAUGGGUCCAGCUUCUACCUGGGGAUUCCAGUCCUUCCUGAGUACCAGAAACACCACCCCCUGCCUUUAUCCAUCCAACUCCAGGGGUGGUGCUGACCUUCCUGCUGUUGCUAAUCUGUAGGUUCUUCACCCUCCCCUGUUUGCCUGCUUCCAUGGUUCUUCUAUUACCUAGGAAGCAAAUGCAUACAUUCCCCUAUUCUAGUGUCUGCUUUUCCUGCUUGGAUUCUCACUGAUUUUCUACCUUUCGUGAAUAGUCACCAUCUAGCCAAUUCAUCUGGUUUGGAAUGACACAAUUCUCUUUCCUUGAGCACAGGACAUCCCAUAAAACGAAAAAUAGUAACCACCGUUUAUUGAGCAUUAUGCCAAUUGCCAGACAAAUGUUCUUUCGUGGAACACUCAUAGCAACCCUUUCUGCCAAAUCCCAUUAAUUACUAUCCCCAUUUGACAGGUGGCGCUCAGAGAGGUUGAAUUGCUUGCCCAAAGGAAUGCAGUUAUAAACCGACAAAGCCAAGAUUUACAUCAAGGGGCUCCUAAACCCAAAGUCUUCGACUUUAUCUAAUCUCGGCUGACAUCUUUUUGUUGUUGUUGCUUUUAAUUUAUUUGGCUGUGCUGGAUCUUAGUUGCAGCAUGUGAGAUCUAGUUCCCUGACCAGGGAUUGAACCUGGGUGCCCUGAAUUGGGUUCAUGGAUUCCUAGCCACUGGACCAGCAGGGAAAUCCCUCUGGGGACAUCUUGAACACACUUGCAACCCCAUGAUAAACCCAUUAGGACUCAAGUCCCUUGGGUGACUGAAGAUCCCUCCUCAACUCAGUCCAGGGUACAUAUAUGAGCUUUCCUAGUGUAGGGCUUCCAUGGUGGCUCAGAUGGUAAAGAAUCUGCCUCCAAUGCAGGAGACCUGGGUUCAGUCCCCAGGUCAGGAAGAUCCCCUAGAGAAGGGAAUGGCAACCCACUCCAGUAUUCUUGCCUGGAGAAUCCCAUGGACAGAGGAGCCUGCUGGGCUACAGUCCACGGGUUCGCAAAGAGUUGGACAUGACUGAGUGACUAACACAUACAGACACACAGGACUGCUAUAACUAUCACAAACUGGACAGCCAAGAACACAGAAAUUUAUUGUCCUAUGUUUUGGGAGGCCAAAAGUCUGAAAUCAAGAUAUCAGGAAGACGGUGAUCCCUCUGAAGCCUCCAAGGAAAGAUCUGACCCAAGCCUCUCUCCCAGCUUCUGGAAGCCCCAGACACUCACUGGCUUGUAGAUGGCCAUCUUCACCCUGUGUCUCUUCAUAUCAUCUUUUCUCUGAGACUCUGCGUGUCUAAAUCUCCUCUUUUUAUAAGCACACAUCAUACUGGAUCAGGGCUUACUAUAAUUAAAUGACCUCAUUUUAACUUGGUUGCCUCUAUAAAGACCCUGUUUUUAAAUAAGAUCAUACUCUGAGGUACUGGGAGUUGGAACUUAAACAUCUUUUCUCGGGGGGAGGGACAUAAUUUAACUCUUAAUAGUCCUUGAUGCAGGUGCUGUCUCUCUACAGUGUGACUGCGUUGGUCCUAUUUUUCUAUUUUUGGUGGCUCUGAGAAGCUUGCAGAAUCUUAUUCCCAGGCCAGGGAUUGAACCCAGGAUCAUGGCAGUGAAAGUACUGAGUCCUAACCACUAGGUAGCCGGGGAACUCCCACUCCUCUUUUUCUAAUGAAGGAGGCUAGAUUUCCAGGAAGACCCUACCUGUUUAAGAGAUUGCGAUAACUUCCAAGUCAUGUUUGUAUUCCAAAAUUUUUAUCCCAACAUCCUACCCCAAAAUAUAUAGAGGGACGUAAAGCACGUAAUAUAGCCAAACCCAUUUUGAAAAAGUAGGACAAAGUUGAAAGACUUAACCUAUCUAACUUCAACACUUAUUUUAAAGGUAAAGAGUCGGACACGACUGAAGUGACUUAGCAGCAGCAGCAGCAGCAAUCAAGAGAGUGUAUACUGGCAUAUUAGAAAAUAGAUCAAUGGAAUAGAAUAAAGAAUCCAGAAACAGA